CAUCGGGACUUUCGUCUUGUAUUGGAUGAUGGUGAUGUACAACCUCACCAGAGUACCAAUUGGAGGGCAAGUCUGGUGCCAGCAGCCGCGGUAUUUCCAGCUCCAAUCCGCGUAUAUUAAACUUGUUGCAGUUAAAAAGCUCGUAGUUGUAUUUCAGCCUCGCGUUUUUUCCCUGGUUUUGGGUCUUUUCGCUGGCUUUUUUUUUACUUUGAGAAAAUUAGAGUGUUUCAAGCAGACUUUUGUCUUGAAUACUUCAGCAUGGAAUAAUAGAGUAGGACCUUGGUUCUAUUUUGUUGGUUUUGAGCCUUGGUAUUGGUUAAUAGGAACGGUUGGGGGCAUUCGUAUUUAUCUGUCAGAGGUGAAAUUCUUAGA
Molecule: ribosomal RNA, 372 nt
Filed under: Babesia bigemina
Lineage: Eukaryota; Apicomplexa; Aconoidasida; Piroplasmida; Babesiidae
Description: partial 18S ribosomal RNA
Rfam family: Eukaryotic small subunit ribosomal RNA
Source: RNAcentral